GCUACUAUAGCAUAAGAAGUGCGUUUGUUUUAAGCGCAAAAGAUAUUGUGUAGCU
Molecule: transfer RNA, 55 nt
Filed under: Pseudoterranova azarasi
Lineage: Eukaryota; Metazoa; Nematoda; Chromadorea; Rhabditida; Anisakidae
Description: tRNA-Leu
Source: RNAcentral